AGGGUUUGAUCAUGGCUCAGGAUGAACGCUGGCGGCGUGCUUAACACAUGCAAGUCGAACGAAGCACCUUAAACGGAUCUCUUCGGAAUGAAGUUUUUGGUGACUGAGUGGCGGACGGGUGAGUAACGCGUGGGUAACCUGCCUCAUACAGGGGGAUAACAGUUAGAAAUGACUGCUAAUACCGCAUAAGCGCACAGUGUCGCAUGACACGGUGUGAAAAGCUCCGGUGGUAUGAGAUGGACCCGCGUCUGAUUAGCUGGUUGGCGGGGUAACGGCCCACCAAGGCGACGAUCAGUAGCCGACCUGAGAGGGUGAUCGGCCACAUUGGGACUGAGACACGGCCCAA
Molecule: ribosomal RNA, 346 nt
Filed under: uncultured bacterium
Lineage: Bacteria
Description: bacterial SSU rRNA
Rfam family: Bacterial small subunit ribosomal RNA
Source: RNAcentral